CAGGCAGAGGGAGAAGCAGGCUCCAUGCAGGGAGCCCGAUGUGGGACUCGAUCCCAGGUCUCCAGGGUCACACCUGAGUCGAAGGCAGAUGCUCAAUCCCUGAGCCACCCAGGUGUCCUGCCUCAAGUUUUCAGGGGCCUCAUCACAGAGAAACCCCUUCUGAGACCCUGAUAGCAUCUGUGACCUCGAGGCCAUGUGUUCUCCGUGGUCCUGCAUGCCCUGUUCUCCCACUCCCCAAAGUAGACAAGCAAUGGACUGGUCCAGCUUUAUUCCUGUCUCCUAGCAACCAUCCUUGGAAGAUGGAAAGUGAAUGUUAAGGCUGCUGACAUGCUGACAACCAGGAGUGCCGUAGCACAAGAAGAGAAUGGAGCAGCCAUUGCCAAGGGGAGACAGAGAGGAGCUGUUCCCAGCUGCAAGCCUGGUCCUGCAAGAGUCUCCACAUUUUUUCCUAGUGCAGGUUGGAUGUAAAUUUCAACCCGAAAGAACUUUAGACCUUCUGAUGGUUAAUUUUACGUGUUAACUUGACUGAGCUAAGGGAUGCUCAGAUAACUGAGCAUUAUUUCUGGGGAUGUCCAUGAGGGUGUCUCUGAAAUGUAUUAGCCUUUGAAUCAAUAGCCUGAGUAAAGAAAGUUGCCCUCACCACUGUGAGUGAGCCUCAUCUAAUCUCUUGAGGGCCAGAAUAGAACAAGAUGGUGGACUAUGGGACUUCUUAAACUCCAGUAUUAUGUGAGCCAAUCCUUGUAGUAAAUCUCCUCUUACAUCUACAUAUAUAUGUCCUAUUGGUUCUGUUCUCUGGAGAACACUAACAAUCCUAUUUUUGGCUCUCACAAAAGCUUGGUAAAAAGGCUAGGAAGCUUCACAAAGCAAGCUUAAACCCUGUUUGUUGUUAGAACAAUGGACAGAAUCUCUUGGGAUUGCUAUUUCUUUCUUUCUUUUAAGAAACUUAAACAUUACAAAACAUAUGCUUUUU
Molecule: long non-coding RNA, 970 nt
Organism: Nyctereutes procyonoides (raccoon dog)
Lineage: Eukaryota; Metazoa; Chordata; Mammalia; Carnivora; Canidae
Exons: 3
Source: RefSeq, a predicted model, not a curated record